GUACCAAAAACCCAUGAUCACACCCAUCCACAUCUCAGCCAUGUGCACGUCCUUUCCUUCCGCAUCCAAAGUUCCUUCCACGUCAUCCCUUUCCUUCCCUGUUUAAGCUUCAAAACAGAGUCAACCCCAAUCUCUUUUCAUCACGAAUCACAUCCAGCCAUCCCGACCUCUGAGAUCCUCUCACGUCUCCAUUUCAGCGUCAUUCUCUCCCCAUUCCGUGGAUCACGUCCUAGCCAUCUUCUGAACCAACCCAUCCUCUUCCGCUAGAUCCCAGCCAAGAUAAGCCUUCCGAACUCCCAGAUUUCCUAUCAUCCUUAUCCAAACUUCCCAGCUCCCCUGUUCCCAGCCGAAGGAUUCUUCCGCAGUCCAAAGAUCUCUUCCCAGCUUCAUCUCUUCCGAAUUCCAAGUCCCGAAUUUUAUGAAUCCUUUCCAACUCCCCUAUUCCACGACAUUCAUCCAGAACCGAAUCAGAUUAGAACAAAAACAUCCCUGUGUCUCCGUGACCUCCUCCACGUCCUUCCCGAGCUCAUCCUCCCAAGGAAUAGAGCUGUCAUCCCAUCCGGAUUCAUCCCAGCAUCUUUCGGAUCAGCUCCCCAGCUUCCUCGGCUUCAUCCUCCCGAGCUUCAUGGCAUCCAAGCUUUUUCUCCCAACUUCUGGAUCAACUCCAUCCUUCCGCAUACAAAGAUCCCCUGUUCUCAGCCGUAUCCACCAUUUUCAAGCCUCCCGCAUCUCCAUCUCAGCCGUAAGCUCAAUCUAACAUCCACGUCCUCGCCAUCCCCUGCAGCCAAGGAUCAAGCCGACUUCAGCCAAGGAAUUCCAGCUCCUAGCUCACCGACUUUGACAUCCGGAUCAGAUCAUC
Molecule: long non-coding RNA, 859 nt
Filed under: Phoenix dactylifera (date palm)
Lineage: Eukaryota; Viridiplantae; Streptophyta; Magnoliopsida; Arecales; Arecaceae
Description: long non-coding RNA (PDAC_LNC017543)
Source: RNAcentral